This 478-nucleotide ribosomal RNA is filed under the name uncultured bacterium. RNAcentral describes it as "partial 16S ribosomal RNA". It matches the Rfam family "Bacterial small subunit ribosomal RNA", at positions 29 to 523 of the family's 1533-position model. The record is from RNAcentral.
AACAAACGCUGGCGGCGUGCCUAAUACAUGCAAGUCGAACGGGGAAAGUAGCAAUAUGAGUACUAGUGGCGCACGGGUGAGCAACGCGUGGGUAAUCUGCCUUAGAGUGGGGGAUAACCAGUCGAAAGAUUGGCUAAUACCGCAUAAGACCACAGGAUCUGCGGAUCUAGGGGUAAAAGGUUUUUCGCUCUAAGAUGAGCCCGCGUGAGAUUAGCUAGUUGGUAGGGUAACGGCCUACCAAGGCGACGAUCUCUAGCUGGUCUGAGAGGAUGAUCAGCCACAAUGGAACUGAGACACGGUCCAGACUCCUACGGGAGGCAGCAGUAGGGAAUAUUGCACAAUGGAGGAAACUCUGAUGCAGCGACGCCGCGUGAGUGAUGAAGGACUUCGGUUCGUAAAGCUCUGUCGUACGGGAAUAAGAAAGUGAAUGUACCGUGCAAGAAAGGAUCGGCUAACUUCGUGCCAGCAGCCGCAGUAA